UGGGGAAUAUUGCACAAUGGGCGCAAGCCUGAUGCAGCCAUGCCGCGUGUAUGAAGAAGGCCUUCGGGUUGUAAAGUACUUUCAGCGGGGAGGAAGGCGAUAAGGUUAAUAACCUUGUCGAUUGACGUUACCCGCAGAAGAAGCACCGGCUAACUCCGUGCCAGCAGCCGCGGUGAUACGGAGGGUGCAAGCGUUAAUCGGAAUUACUGGGCGUAAAGCGCACGCAGGCGGUCUGUCAAGUCGGAUGUGAAAUCCCCGGGCUCAACCUGGGAACUGCAUUCGAAACUGGCAGGCUAGAGUCUUGUAGAGGGGGGUAGAAUUCCAGGUGUAGCGGUGAAAUGCGUAGAGAUCUGGAGGAAUACCGGUGGCGAAGGCGGCCCCCUGGACAAAGACUGACGCUCAGGUGCGAAAGCGUGGGGAGCAAACA
Molecule: ribosomal RNA, 427 nt
Filed under: uncultured bacterium
Lineage: Bacteria
Description: partial 16S ribosomal RNA
Rfam family: Bacterial small subunit ribosomal RNA
Source: RNAcentral